UUGUGGACCCUAGUCUUGUGGAUCACUUGCAACUGUAUGCUUAACAUUUUUCUCUCUUCUGCUCUCAGCCUCCCCUCUCCCUCUCAGCCGAUGAAACCAGAUGAGUUUCUGCUCUCCUCUCUUCUCUUCCUCUCAGCCUAUGAACCAGAUCGAGUUUGAUGAAUCAGUUUCCAUUCAGUUUCUCAUCAUCUAUAAUAGGAUUUUUAGGGCUUCAUAAAUCGAUUUUAGGGUUUCAGUCUGUAUAAUGAUUCAUUUUUUCGAUUUUAGUUUGUUCGUCGGAGUUCGAACUUGGAAGAACUGAUCUUCACUCUUAGCUAAUCGUGAGAAAGCAGCUGUUCUACUUUGUUUAAUUUAGAUUUAUUUUCAGAUGCAGAUGGGAAUGAAGUUGAUAAGUUGACUGAGAAGCUACAAGGGGUUGGGAUUGCUUCUGCUAGUGCUGAUGGAGCCGUCCUUAACAACUUCUAAAGCCGUGAACAGGGGCGGAGAUUAUAGCCGUGAAAAUCAGUCUGGGUCUGAUAUUGCUUCCAUUUGAAUUGAGAAUUAAACUUCAAACGCAGGUUAUAUCAUUUUUCUUAUAUCUUGAGAAAUUUUAGCAUCAUCUAUGUUCGCAAGUCUGUUGGUAAUUGGUUGUGGACAAGGUGUUUGUGACUUUGCCGCAAACAAGGGGUAUGCAAUUAGAAAAUCUGAUACAUGAGUACUAUUUUGAUUCGUAUUUUGAUUAUUGAUCUCGUCUAAAUAACUAAUUAUUGCUAUUGUGAUACUUUUGUUGGUUAUGAUAUAUAAUUUGGAAAUGUAUUUGUUUGAUGUAUGUUAAUCUUGUUGGUUAUGGUAUACUGAUACGUGCUUCUGAUUUAAGUUGCCGACAUGGAGAUGGUCAGCUGCACUAGCAAGUCAAUAGUUAGUUCUUCGUUAUUGCUAUUUGGCUCAAGUUAAUAUAUUCAUUAUGUAUGAAUAUCUUUGUAGCACUUUUGUAAUAUCAGAUCUUUAAUUUGAAUGCAACUGCUUGAUUUGGGUUGUCGAUUAUCCCACCAACAUGAUACAGUAGUUUACUAAUACAUUUUAUGCAAGGUUAUGAGCUAGGAAAUCCAUUUUAAUUAAUUCCAAAUAAGAAGGUUGUAGUGUGAACAUACAGUUGUAGUGGAUGGUUAACAUUUAUUAGUGGACAUGGCACAUGAAUUUCUUUAUAAACAUAUGAAUUGAUCUAGUGGAUUAUGUUCUAGUACAAGAGUUUUAGUGUAAUACCGAGACAUACUAUUUAUUUUAUAUAGUCGUCGUCCGGCUAGGAUUAUUGGUGUUCUAUCAACAAAUACAGAAUUAAAGAAUUAGCAUUUUGUAUGCUUUGAGUUUGUUGUAAUAAGGGUGUUACCAGGUGGAAUCAAGAUUUCCCAUGUGUCUACUUUAUAACUAUUCAUAUGCAUGGCUAGAAAUGAUAAAAUCUUGUUGCUAUGAAUACAAUCAUGGUUUGGUGAGACUGUCAGUACUAGUAGAUAAUGUUGGUUGUACAUUGUGUAGGAGUAUUCAAUAUUGAAUGAAUGAAUUCUAAUGCGUCGAAUCUCAGGGACUAGAAUUUGUUCUUAAGAUUUGUUUGAGAAAGUGACUUCCUUGACUAAUAAAAUUUAGGUUCGUUUACGGGACACUGUGAAACUAUGAAUAAAGUACAUUUUAAAUUUGCCAACACUUCGUUAGUAAAGAUACAAAGAAAUAUUUCUUCCUUGCAAUUCUGACCGGAGAUUAAACUUAAUGAAGACAUGUUCUGUGUAGUAACGAUGGUGGGUUGUUUAAUGCAGUUAAAAUUGAUGAUUUAGAAUGUUGAGAGUCUUUUGAGAAACCCAAGUUUGUUAUAUCAACUUGCUGUUUAUGAUAAACUUUGUUCUCUUUAUAUUGCUGCUGCUAUUGGUAAGAUCCGCGUAAAAGACACUAAUUAUUACAUUAUACUUACUCUGAGCAUAAUAUGUUUCUCGUUUUAAGCAGGUAAAUGAUACUGUGGGAACAUUAGCCCUUGGACAUUUUCAUGACAAAGACACUCUAGCAGCAGUGAUAAUUGGAACUGGUGCUAAUGCUUCGUAUGUGGAGCGAACAGAUGCAAUAAUCAAGACUCAGGGCCUUCUUACAAAUUCAGGAGGCAUGGACCAAAGAUAGUGCCAACUUAUGAAGCUUCAUCUUACCUAAUUGCAGUUAACUAGUAAUUUAUCAGGAAUGUGGUGAAUCCGAUGACAUGGGGGCCGAGAUAUUAAUUCCCUGCAAAAUGUGUAAACCACCUGCCAAACACCCGAUUGCCUACAUCGAGUUUUCUAAUGCCCAAGCUUUCAACAAAGCAAGCCUGCAAAGGAUAUAAUGAACUAGCUGUUGUUAUUUGAAUGAUGCUCUAUUUCAUCAGAAAGGGUGGAGAACAAAGGAGCUUCAAGAUUUUGUAAGUUCCAUGUAUUUAAGUUUUGUAGGCAGUUAGUAAGUUUGUAUUUGUUCCCUUAGAAAUUUGGAACCUUCCAUGUAUUCCUUUAGAAAUUUGAUACUUGACAAAAAACAAAAAGUUUGGUACAUAGAGAAAUUUCAGUUCUUUUGUUAUAUGAACCUGAGAUGAAUUGAAUGAAUGUGAUUAUCAAUUGAAUGAAGAAAUUGUUGUUGAGUGGGGUUAUGAAUGUAUUGAAAGGUGUAUGCAGGGUAUUGAAUUUAGAA
This is a long non-coding RNA of Papaver somniferum (opium poppy), 2673 nucleotides long. RefSeq lists it as uncharacterized. The record is from RefSeq and is a predicted model, not a curated record. NCBI's taxonomy places the organism in Eukaryota, Viridiplantae, Streptophyta, Magnoliopsida, Ranunculales, Papaveraceae. The transcript is spliced from 6 exons.